GUGAGGAAUAUUGGUCAAUGGGCGAAAGCCUGAACCAGCCAUGUCGCGUGAAGGAUGAAGGUCCUAUGGAUUGUAAACUUCUUUUGCAGGAGGGUAAAGUGAGCUACGUGUAGUUCAUUGCAAGUACCCUGCGAAUAAGCAUCGGCUAACUCCGUGCCAGCAGCCGCGGUAAUACGGAGGAUGCGAGCGUUAUCCGGAUUUAUUGGGUUUAAAGGGUGCGUAGGCGGACUAAUUAGUCAGCGGUGAAAUUUUGCGGCUCAACCGUAAAACUGCCGUUGAAACUGUUAGUCUGGAGUGCGGUAGAGGUAGGCGGAAUGUGUGGUGUAGCGGUGAAAUGCUUAGAUAUCACACAGAACACCGAUUGCGUAGGCAGCUUACUGGAGCGCAACUGACGCUGAGGCACGAAAGCGUGGGGAUCGAACAGGAUUAGAAACCCGGGUAGUCC
RNAcentral lists this ribosomal RNA (445 nucleotides) under uncultured bacterium. RNAcentral describes it as "partial 16S ribosomal RNA". It matches the Rfam family "Bacterial small subunit ribosomal RNA", at positions 354 to 796 of the family's 1533-position model. The record is from RNAcentral.